GAUGAACGCUGGCGGCGUGCCUAAUACAUGCAAGUCGAGCGAACAGACGAGGAGCUUGCUCCUCUGACGUUAGCGGCGGACGGGUGAGUAACACGUGGAUCACCUACCUAUAAGACUGGGAUAACUUCGGGAAACCGGAGCUAAUACCGGAUAAUAUAUUGAACCGCAUGGUUCAAUAGUGAAAGACGGUUUUGCUGUCACUUAUAGAUGGAUCCGCGCCGCAUUAGCUAGUUGGUAAGGUAACGGCUUACCAAGGCAACGAUGCGUAGCCGACCUGAGAGGGUGAUCGGCCACACUGGAACUGAGACACGGUCCAGACUCCUACGGGAGGCAGCAGUAGGGAAUCUUCCGCAAUAGGCGAAAGCCUGACGGAGCAACGCCGCGUGAGUGAUGAAGGUCUUCGGAUCGUAAAACUCUGUUAUUAGGGAAGAACAAAUGUGUAAGUAACUAUGCACGUCUUGACGGUACCUAAUCAGAAAGCCACGGCUAACUACGUG
This 497-nucleotide ribosomal RNA is filed under the name uncultured bacterium. RNAcentral's name for it is "partial 16S ribosomal RNA". It matches the Rfam family "Bacterial small subunit ribosomal RNA", at positions 28 to 507 of the family's 1533-position model. The record is from RNAcentral.